UUGCUAAACUACGUAUAUUAAUUAAACAAUUGAAUCAACCCAAACUUUCUAUCAAAGAACUAAUAACUUUAACAAAUUACAUAUAUCAAUUAAUCAUACAUAUAGUUGGUCAUUACAUACUUAAUUACAAUAUCUCAAACUUCUAACAUCCCAAACUUUCCAUCUAUGUCUAAAAACAAACAAGAUAUAUGUGCAGCCGAAAGGUGUACCAUAUCAACAAGAUAUAUACAUGUCUAAGCUACAAUAUGAACAUUUUCUUGUUACAAAAUUCUCACUUCUUUCUCAAACAAUUGAGCUCUUGCAUUUGCGGUUUCCAACCUCUCUUUUAGCUCUUUUAUUCCAUGCCUCAAAGAAGAUACUUCCACAUCAUAACUUCCAAUAAUGUUUAUUUUUGUCCUCAUACUUUUUAAUUUAAGUAAUCUUGUUCCUUGUACUUUAGAAAAACGAGCAUUUUGGUCCCUUCCUUUUCAUUUUUAUUUCCUUUCUAAUGGAUGCAAAUGGACACUUUUUGAAAGCUUAGGGACCAAAAUGAAUCAAAAUUGAAAGUCUAAUAACCCAAUGAACAUUUUAGAAUUAGGACAAACUAAAAUGAGUCAAAAUUAAAACCACGAUGAAUCAAAACCAAAAUAAUUACAAUGACCAUUGGAGCGUUUUUUAAAAAAUACAUAGUAAAAAAAACCUAGUAGGACAAUUAUACAAAACUGAGACUAAACAUCCUAACCAUUGUCGAUUUGAAGACCUCGUUCGGAGCUGCCAGAGGCUAAACUACAAACAUUUUAUUUCAAUAAAUCCAAUGAUGAGGCACAACAAAAACAUAAACAAAAGAGAAAAAAAAGAACCUGAAGGUUGUUGCUUUUAAUAUAUAUGACCACACACACUUGAAACAGCCAGACCAAAGUAAGAAAAGAAGUAUGGACUUAUGAUUGAUAACGUGAUUACCAGCUCGGCAACCUGUAUACAAAAUUGGUGUUAAGGAACUUUGAAAAGAAAAACAGAGGGAAAGAAUUGGAGAGGAUAUCAAAGUAUACAAAAUGGUGAUAUAAAAAGUAUAACAUUAAAUAGGGUUGAGGAGUGAUAGCCACCCCAAAUUCAUUGUUAUAAUUGAAAAAAGGAAAAAGAAAAAGGGUUGAAGAGGUAUAGUAUUUGUAUCUGAUCACCUAGCAAAGACCGUUGGCUGCCAAGUCAAAAGGCAGGGUAGUAUAACAAAAAUAGGCAAGGUAAAGUGUUGAAAAUGGCAACACCAGUUAUUUCUCUCCCAUAGUUAUUACCAAUAUGUUGAUGUCGUACGUGCGAACAAAUCACAAAAUGCCUGACAAAUAUACCAAACGUGUGUAAAAAGAUGCUUACGAGGUGAGUCAAAAAUGUGUAAAAAGAUGAUUUAUUAUGAGGGACAUGAGCAGAAUGUGUAAAAAGAGAAGUUGAACAUUAUUACGAGGUGAGUCAAAAAAAUACGAGGUUGCUUCAAACAAAAACGACCCUUGCUUUGGUGGUUCCAGAAAAUUGAUUGGAAAAGAGAAGCAGAAAAUGACGAGACUGAGAACUGAACAAGUAAGCCAUAGAAAGUUUCCCACUUGCUCCCUGGUGGUUCCAUAUGCAAUUGGGGAACGUUCUAUGACUUACCUAUUCAGUUCUCGGGCUUGUUAUUUUCUACUCCUCUUUUCCAAAUCAAUUUUCUGGAACCACCAUACCAAGGGUUGUUUAUGUUUGAAGCAACUUCAUAUUUCUUUCGACGUAGCGUGUAAUAAUGUUCAACUUCCUUCUUUGCACAUUCUACACAAGUCCCUAUGAUCAUACUAGGCAAUUAUGCUGAGAUAAUGUUUUUAGUUUUUAUUAUUCAUGUAAUUUAUGAACCUACAAACGUGUACUUUUUAAUAUCUGACUUAAUUUUAAUAUAAUCUUGAUUUGAGAUGUUAAUAAUUUUUUAUUAAUUUUACGCUACUUCAUUUUAGAAUUUGAUUGUUUAUAAAUUGAAAUCGAUCUCAAUAGUGAAAAUCUUAAAUAAUAAUAUAUUUAAAAGAUAUUAGGAAAAAGGUUUCUUGACGCAUAAAACACGUUGGCAUGGACAUCUAUUGUCAACGCUUUGACCAGACGUCAGACGAGGCUUUCUCCGAUGUCUUGCGUGAGUCAGCGAAGCCCCUAUCGGGCAAAGUUUUUGCCGACGUUGUUAUGUUUAUAGGUUGAUUUUGCCAAUCCCAACGCGGUAAUGGCAACGUUCUUUUCGACGUUGGUCUUGAUGUCGAGAUAGGUAUUCCCAACAUGUUUUGGUGAAUUUGCCAAUGAAGUUUGAUAAUCAGGUAAGAAAACUUAAAGAUUGAUGCGAGUUAUGUUUCAAACCUUAAGAGAAACUUCAUAUCUUUAAGAGUUUUGGAUAAAGUUGGCUACCUCCCCAAGAAAUUUGGCCUUUCAUGUAGUCAAAAUCUGACAUUACAUAUGUAUAAUGCAUGGAAAGAUGUUAUUAAAAAUAUUCGAUGUUGAUCAAUCUUUUAAGUCGGUUUUCGCUCGACAUUAUAGAUGAUUUAUUUGUUGAUUUUUGCCAAACAUUAUAGAUGAUUUAUUUGUCGGAUGAUUUUGAUGUCGCUCUAAAGUUUGUCCAACAAUAAAUAUAUGUUUUUGUGACCGACAAAACCGCUCAUCGUUUAUUUAUUGAAAAUAAAAAGAAAAAAAGAUAUUAUACAUGUACUAGCGAACCAAUAAUAUAUUUCUCAUUUACUUAUAAAUGUAUAAAAUAAAUUAAAGAGGAAAAUUGGCAAAAGUAGUAUACUUUUAAUUUUCGUUUUCAAAAGUAACACAUUUUUUAAAACUCUUAAAACUGUUUUCUCGAUCAAUCUCGCGAGAUCAAUCACUAAAUUUUCUUAAAAUAUUAAAAAAUUUCAACUUAUCGAUUGUUUUGGGUAGACAUUAGACGAGAUUCAACCAUUUUUCACAUCUUUUCAAAUCUUAUUUAUUUAUUUUUUAUGUUUAAAAAAAAAUUAUUGAAAUUCUUAUCCCAAAUCUUAACUACUUUUCCAAUUUCCCUAACUAUUUAUUGUAAAACUAAAAUUCCUUUUUCCCCUUCUUCUCUUCUUCAACCCCUUUUCCCAUUUUAUGUUAAUGCAGAUUAGUUAAGAUUUGACAGGAAAAUGGAAGUUAUUAGAUUCAAAACAAUGUAAAGAGAAGGGAAGUUUGAGGGAAGCCAUCAGUGAACUUUGAGGUCAGAAAUGAGAAAGAUGCAAAGUUAAGGAAAGGAGAUCAAAUAUCAUUAGAGUAGAGUACGUGGUGAUUGAACAAGAAUUAAAAUACCAAUUCAAUUUCAUAAAAAAAAAUUGUAUUGUUUGAUUCAGUUUAUGCAGUUUCAGCUUAAUGAAACGUGUUUUGACUCUUGGUUGAUAAUUGAAUCCUAAAAUGGUUGAAGAUAGAAGAGAAAAAGAAAAAAAAUGGUAAAUUAAAUUAGUUGGGGAAAUUGCAAAAAUUGGUUAGCUUUCACGUAAGAUUUGGGAUCUCCAUAUAAAUAUCACUAUGAAAACCCAAAACAAUCGAUAACUUAGAAAAAUAUUUCCAAAAUAUUUUAGAAAAUCUUGGUGGCCGAUCUCGUUCAAGAUUGAUCAAGAAAAACAAAGAGUGUACUACUUUUACCAAUUUUUCAAAUAAAAACUGCAGUUAGCUAAAUACAAAUUCAGAAGAACUAAUCCACAUAUCACUAUCCAUAUAUAAUGUGCACAUAUCUGUAGCAUAAAUAUGGGAGUUGUAGUUUUCUUUCCAAGAGUGCACAUUUUUACAAAUUUAUAAAAUUGUUUUCAUGAUCAAUCAUCCGUUAAAUUGACCAUGAAGAUUUUUUAAAAAUAUUAAAAAUUUUCAACUUAUCAAUUAAUUUAGUUUUCUGGCUACAUCUGGAUAGUUAUAUCGAGAUUCUACUAUUUUUCAAAUCUUUUCAAAUAUUAAAAAUUUUCAAUUUAUCAAUUGAUUUAGUUUUCUGGCUAGUUAGAUCGAGAUUCUACUAUUUUUCAAAUCUUUUCAAAUUUUAUUUAAUUUUUUAUCUUUUCAAAUAGAUAAUUCUUUUACCUUUUCAAAAAUAAUUAUGAAUCUUGGAUCAUCCUAACGAAAUUGUACCGAAAAAACGUACAAAUUCGAUAAUCUUUGUCAAAAUUGUACCAAAAAAAACUAAAAAGUAUGAUAAUUUUAUCAAUUAAAUUAAAUAAGUUAAGAUCUUCCAAGAUUAAAAAAAUUGUUAAUCUCAAAGAUAUAUUCAAAUCUUUUCCAAUCUUAACUUAUAUCUUUUCGAAUGUUAACUAACUUUUCUUUAUGUGUGAAAUUUGAAAACAUAGAUUUAUGGGGAUUUUUGAAGUUUAAAAAAUAACUAUAUUUUUCUAUAAUCUUUUUCAAUCUUAUAACGUGAAUAUUAACUAAUUUUCUCCGUAUCUAAACUUUUUAUACAACUUCUCAAAUUAUUUAUCAAGAUUAUCAUACAAAUCUAAUUUACAAUAACCUUAUAUAAAAUUUUGUAAGAUUAUAAUAAAAAAAUUGAUAAGAGUUAGCUGAAAUAUUCAUAAAUAAAACUGUACCAAGAAGGUCUAAAAUUAUCAUUUUUAAACUUUCUUCAUACAAUUUUGUUGAAGAUGAACAGAGAUUUAUUAAUGUUUUAGGCUUUCCUGAUACAAUUUUAUAUGAGAUGAACGGAGAUUCAUAUUUUUUUAACUAUAAAAAAAUUAAUUAAGAUUAUUUGGUCUAAAAUUUGAAUAAUUUUUCUGAAAAGAUAAAAAAAAUUAAAUAAAUUUUGGAAAGAUUUGAAAGGAUAGAAUUUCAAAUACAAAAAUCGAGUAUACAAGGAAGAAGAAAAACACACACACAUGUGUGUAUAUAUAUAUAUAUCAAUUUGCAUUCCUCAGUUCAAUCACAGAAGUCAACCCAUAAAAUAGAACAUUCUCAUGGAUGAAAAUACCUCUAUAGAAAUCCGAAGCUGUGAAACUCACGACGACAUGGACAAACCUUGAACGAUCGCACAGAAUGGGCCCAAAAUACACACUCUUGCUUGACCACUGUGUAGUUCUCUUCUUCGUAUAAAUACCCUUUGUAUAAGAGAGUAACUACAUCUAUCCUGAUAUCAGUCACCCCUGCAAAGAAUUUUUGCCACUUGAACGCGUAAAUGGGUGCUGAUAAAAAUGUUAUUGGUAGAACGCCUAUAAAAGGAUAGAGCUCCUUCUCUAUCUUGAAAUAUUUGUUGACUGUCUUAACGGAGAAAUGGCUUAUUUUCAUCGCCUUCUUGGUCCUCGUUUUCUUCUACGGUCAUAUUGCCUUGCCUUGAGGACCUUUCUUCUUUUCUUUUCCUUCUCGCCUCUCUUGACAGUCAUAUUGGCCUUCUCGACUACUACAAAUUUAGCCUUCUUUGAUGUGUAAACACAUAAAAAAAAUGUCUACCUUGAUACUCUUUGUCCAUCAAGUAGGCAGACAUCAUCAAGAAACCGCGAUCGGUCAAGAGAGAAAACUUCGAUGUUUCUUGCUCAUCAAGAAAACUGAAAAAGCCCACAAAAGAAAACCAGUUUACUUGGCCAAAACAUGUUAUCAAAAACCUUUUCUUUUUUUCUAUUUUAGAUUUCCUUUUUCUUUUUUCUCACUCACCUUAGCACUUCAUGAUCUUGAUGCCAUCCCCAAUGUUUACUAACAAUUGUAAAGUUAAAAUUCAAAUUUAUAAAU
This 5667-nucleotide long non-coding RNA is filed under the name Cucumis sativus (cucumber). RNAcentral describes it as "long non-coding RNA (CSAT_LNC002847)". The record is from RNAcentral. Lineage: Eukaryota; Viridiplantae; Streptophyta; Magnoliopsida; Cucurbitales; Cucurbitaceae.